AUUGAACGCUGGCGGCAGGCCUAACACAUGCAAGUCGAGCGGAUGAAGGGAGCUUGCUCCUGGAUUCAGCGGCGGACGGGUGAGUAAUGCCUAGGAAUCUGCCUGGUAGUGGGGGAUAACGUCCGGAAACGGGCGCUAAUACCGCAUACGUCCUGAGGGAGAAAGUGGGGGAUCUUCGGACCUCACGCUAUCAGAUGAGCCUAGGUCGGAUUAGCUAGUUGGUGGGGUAAAGGCCUACCAAGGCGACGAUCCGUAACUGGUCUGAGAGGAUGAUCAGUCACACUGGAACUGAGACACGGUCCAGACUCCUACGGGAGGCAGCAGUGGGGAAUAUUGGACAAGGGGCGAAAGCCUGAUCCAGCCAUGCCGCGUGUGUGAAGAAGGUCUUCGGAUUGUAAAGCACUUUAAGUGGGGAGGAAGGGCAGUAAGUUAAUACCUUGCUGUUUUGACGGUACCAACAGAAUAAGCACCGGCUAACUUCGUG
RNAcentral lists this ribosomal RNA (484 nucleotides) under uncultured bacterium. RNAcentral describes it as "partial 16S ribosomal RNA". It matches the Rfam family "Bacterial small subunit ribosomal RNA", at positions 30 to 507 of the family's 1533-position model. The record is from RNAcentral.